Molecule: long non-coding RNA, 8697 nt
Filed under: Gallus gallus (chicken)
Lineage: Eukaryota; Metazoa; Chordata; Aves; Galliformes; Phasianidae
Source: RNAcentral
GGGGAUGCUGGUUCACUUCCAUUGUUUUCAGUUGAUCUGGGAAUUGACUGCUUAGGUAAAUUCUCUUUGUCUGGUGUUAAAGUGCCUUCAUCAUUCUGCUCUGCCAAUGAAGAUGAUCUGCUUCUUUUGUCAGACAGUGGAGGAGACUUGGGAGGGACCUGAGGUUGGAGGGGGGCGGCCCGGCCCCCAGCGCCGCGCGGCGGCGCCUGCUCCUCACUGAUCUUCUGCUUCAGCUUCUUGAACAUGGCGGCGGGUCCGGCGACGAGGAGAGCGCACUGCCGCCCUCGUCGUCGUCGUCGUCCUCCUUGCUCUCCUCUUCCUCUUCUCUUGCCCCCUGCGGUGAGAUGGCAAUGGGUCUCAGCCCUUGCCCUGCUCGGUCACCACCGCCUCCCCCUUCUCGGGUCCCCCCUCCCUCAGCAGGUGAACGCGUCGCUGCGCCUGCGCGGCCAACGUGGAGCCGAGAGCUUGGAGCGGUACGGGGCGCAGCGAGGCACAAACUUCCCCCGGGAAUUCGCUGCCCUCACCACGCUCGGGCCCGGCCCGGCCCGGCUGCGGGGGUGGUUCAUGGUCCGCCUCCAGGGGCCACGGGCGGGUCCGGGAAGGGAGCGCAGUGACGGUGGUUGGGAGGAUGGGUACGUAAGUACCAAUAAGUGCGUGGUGCGGCGAGACAGCCCAGGUCUGAGUGGGAAUUGGUUAAAGGAUCUCCACCGGAGAGUGGGGAACGGGCUCCCCAGGGCAGUGGUCACGGCCCCAGGCUGUUGGAGUUCAAGGAGUGUUUGGACAAUGCUCUCAUACGUUGGGUUUGGGUUUUGGGUGGUCCUGUGUGGAGGCAGAAUUCGACGAUCCUCGAGGGUCCCUUCCAUCUCGGGAUAUCCUGUGAUCCUGUGACUCACCAGAACACCAGUCAGAGGUUUCUAAACCCUUCCCUUGUGUGAGGAAGCUCUUCUCUGAGGCACCCGUUGCUGGGUGUGUGGAGGUCUGUGGAAAACACACAGGCUUGGUUUCUGCAGCUGGCUGAAAACCUGUCUGCUGGCAGCCACCUCGUGAAACCUUGUGUGUUCUAUUCUAUUUGCAAACCUGAGGUGUGGUAUUUACAAAUAGGGUGUGAAUAAAGCAUCACUGUUGUGGUUUUCUAUUUGAAACUGGGUGGGAGAUGUUCUUGGCCACUUUGCAGAAGCUUUAUUGCUGGAAUUUUUUAUUAUUAUUAUUUUUAUUGUGUGUGUGUGCUCAGUUCUCUCAGUGAGACACAGAGAGCUAUUAAAGCAUCUGCCAUUCAUUCUCCAACAAUGGGAUUAUUUCAAAACUGCCAUGUUGCCAAUGAUGUCAUAUGAAGGCUAGAAAUACAUGAUGGGAUUGCAGGAAAUGCUGAACCAUGAGUCUUCUAUAUAGCACUGCUCUAUGAAGAAUGCACUUAAUCACAAGCAUCCUGACAUGUUUGCACUGAAAUACAUUGCUGUCACCUUUAAGUAAUUUGAGGAAAAAAAGUAUGUAGAUGGAUAGUUUGCUGCACACUGACCACAAAUAGAGCAAGAUAUAUUCACAGCAAAUAUAUAUAUAGUUUUUCCUAAUUUUUUGCUACAUGUGAAAAAGAAUAAUUUUCAGCAGUCUAUUUAGCAGUAGAUAAACUGAAAGACUGGUUGUGAUACUUAUGUAUAGGUAGACUUGGAAACAGAGGUCUAGGGAAGAGUUUCUGAGACUAACAAGGCAAAAAUACCUGAAGAGCGGCCCACAAGGAAAUGAGGUAGAGUUGGUGAUUAUAUUUAACUAUUUAACUGUGGUUUUAGAAAGGAAAAAUUUGCUACUUGUGUCAGAUGGCUUCUAUUCCCUCUAAACCUGGUAUGCAGUAGCACAGACCAUUCCCAGGCAGCAAGUGAGGGCACUGCCCAAGGAGUGCUCUGGGAAACUCUUAACUACUGCACCUCCAGCCUCACCGCCAUCCUCCCAACACAUCCCUGGUUACCACACCUCUGUGCUUUCUCACAGUGCUGCUUGGUCUCUGCAGCACCUGUAAUUACACUCUAAUUUUAAAUAUGUCACUAGAUGUACUGUGUGAAUUUGAUGGCUAGAUGCAUAUUAAAAGGAAACUAACUCAUACAGUCAUCAGAUAGAAAAGCAGAGCUUACAGCUGCCUUUUGUCUUGCCGGGCAUUAUUAUCCUGGUGGACUAUCUGCCCAGAAAUCAGUGAGAUAAGUCAAGUUCUUCUUCCUUUCUCUAACCGUGUCUUCUACUGCUAUUGCCACUGCCUGCCCUUAGUUUUGUUAUUUUUCCUUUACUUUUUUUUUUUUUUUAGCAUUUAUAGUUUUGUUCAUUCUUUCGUAAAAUGUACAAAACAUGAAAGUAAGCUCUGUAUUAUUUCCUUGGAAAAUUUAGUUGUGUUCUGAAAAUAUAUAUAUUCAAACUCUGAAGAUAUUAUCUGAUAAUUCCACAAAAUAUGUUCAUAAACCUUCACAUUUUGUAAUGUCUGGGCAAGUUUGAUUAAAACAUAUUGCAAUAUACAAAGAAUUUACUCUGAGCUCAGUGAAGUUCUGGGGGAAUUGUCUGGAAUCACAUUAAUUCCCACCCCUUCUGGGUGACAAAACCCUUUAUGUAAUUGAAUUUUACUUUGUUUCUAGAGGGUAAGUCACAAGAUAAAUGUAUUUCUGCACAGUUCUGGAUAUGGUAAAUAAUCAAGAAUAAAAGUCUGUUCCCAAGUGAAUCUGUAGCAGUUGUUAAUGGAUUUCCGUGGGAAUGGAAACUGAGCAUUAAUGUAAAAGACUGUGUUUUCAUAGCAGUCUAGACUUCCCUAAUUGUCAGUGACAGGGGCCCACACAUCCCUGCAGUCCCAUUCCUCACCUUGUGCUAGAGCCAGUGCUUGUCAGGCCUUUCCUCCAGCUGCUGCUGUAUGUUGAUUUUGCAGAAAACUGAACUGACAAAAGAGCAAAUAACUUUCUGCUGACUUACUGUGCUGAGUCUCUUGACUGCAGGGUAGACUGAGGCAGCCAAAAGCUGGAUAGCUUUACAUUGCUGGAGUUCUUAUUUCAGAUCACUCAGGAAUGUAUGGUCUUUGCUGAGCAAUUUGCUUAAUUUUAAACUGAAGUAAUCCCACUAAGUGCUAUUUCAAGGUUAGCUAACAAGCGGCUCUGUUUCUCAAUCAGUAACUUAUCUUGGCUGCUAAUGACAGUAUUCAUGAGAUUGCCUCUCGUCAGCCUAACCUGAUUUUCAAAAUGCUCUCUUUAAGUUAUUGCAGCUCUGUGGAAAUCACAAGAAAGCCCUGGGGAUGAAUUAUGAAUGUGGCUUUCAAUACUCUUUUCCACACCUCAACUCAAAUUACUUUGUGAAAAAUGUAUGAAUUUGCUAACAGCUAGUACUUUCAAUCCACUCUUCAAUCACAAAUAUGGAAAGACAUAAAAGAGGGAAGCACUACAUAUGUAUCACUUCUGAUAACUUUUUAUAUUGGUUCAUAUUUUUUGAAAGGAGGUUUGUCAUCAAGAAUGCUUGAAUUUUUCUUUAUAUCAUCAUCACGUUGCUAAAAGAAUGUCUGAUAAAAACAUUACUAUUACUCCUACUGAAUCUUAUUUGACAUAGAAGAAAUUGCUAUAAAAACAGAUUAAUGUGAACUGGUAAUAACAUAUGUAAGCAGAAGGGAGCACUAACCAAACAACAGGAGUUAGUGCUCAGAGCUGACAAUGCAUGUUGCUGCUCUUUACAUACAGCUUAUGGAAUGUUGCAUUUUGUUGCAACUGCAGUGUUUACUACUCAUAACAUUGAAAAUAUUAAUGUUGCUAUUAAGGCAGUUAUGCAGUGGCAUAUACACAGGUGCAUAGGUAGUCAGUAUCAAUCAGGAAGUCUUUCAAUCUUUAUUUCAACACAAAGGUUAUAAACAACCACACAUUAUCUGAUAGUACAAUGGAAACGGUGAUGACUUUUUAUAGAUGCAGCUUACAGAGUGAGAAGCACCACAGAAUCACAGAAUUGUAGGGGUUGGAAGGUUCCUCCAGAGAUCAUCGAGUCCAACCCCCCUGUAAAGCAGGCCCCCUACAGCAGGCUGCACACGUAAAGAAGUAGUUAUGCAAGAUGCAUCUUUUAAUUACAUUACUGUGACUAGAACCCUACCAGUUUUAAAAUGAAAGCUGGACUUAGUGAAUAGUCAGAGUAUGUCUUCAGCCUGAUUUGACGGAUAGCUUUACUUUUCUAUCUAAAUAUCAUGACUUUGAACUACCAGCAGAUGUCAGUGUUCCAGAAGACUACGACUACCUCUGUAGUCAUUGUCAGUAAUAUAAAUACAAAACUAUACUGGCAGUGGAAUGAGAGUUCUAAAAUACGCAGAGCAGAGAAUUGCAAAAGAAACAAACAAGUAAAAACCUGCAACAACCAUUUAACCAUCUAAUCCUCAUACGUACGAAGAACAGACUGCUCUAAGUAACCUGCUGGAUACCUAAUUAAUAAUGGAAAAUGCACAAAGCUAUGUAAAGAGCAAGGGCAGUGCCUGAUAAAGCUGAAAGACAACCUAGAAGUUGUAGGCUGUUGUUUCAACUGAGUUGUUUCAACUGAGAAGGCAAGAAACUCACUUCAGAGUGAGGAAAAGCUGACAGGCAUUGCUGCUCUGCACCUUGGAAGAGAAAGGAAGCUUUCUGCUCUAGUGGGAAAGUUGUUCAGAGGUCACAUUUCAUGCAACAUGUCUCUCUUCCCAAAAGUACAAAGUGCAAGCUCAGGCUUUGAAGGCUAUGAAGAGCCACUGGGUAAACUGAAUCACUACUUACGACUGCAAGACAAGGAAAAUUAUCUGGAUUCAUGCAAUUGAAUAAUACUCUCUUAAAACAAAAAUAAUAAUUUUAUCUCUAUCUUGUUUAAGUGGCAUUCCCAUUCUGCUUUGUCUAAAUUGUCAAAACUCUUAACUUGUAUUUCACUGUAAUUGCUGCACUUCCUUUAAAAUUCCUGGAUGCCAUGAAAAGGGAGACAAGGGUGCUAUAAAACAGAAGAUUCUUCAGAUCAAUGGUGAUACCAGUCACGAGUUCAGUUUUAAAUGAGCUGGCAGCAGAUUCUCACUUAAAUAUUUUAUUUGUUUUUUUGUUUAUUUACUUAUUGCAUGUACAAUAUAAAGACAUCCACAUGGGCAGGGUCCUUAUAUCUAAAAGAGCAAAGAACUUGCUUCUGAAGACAGUGUCUUUAUGGCAGAUCAAUAGGUUUGUUGGUUUCAAGGAGUCCUCAGUUUGCUUCCCAGCACUGCCCAGCUCAUCAACCCUGGGCAAGCUGUUUUGCAUUUCUAUUCUUCUGUUGGUCUUUUAGGCAAGAAAGGGAUGCUACCCAAUUUCUUGCAAACACAUGGUUAGAUUUUCUCUUUGCUUUCCCAAUUGCUGGUAAAAAGGUCAUCCUUUUUAAGAAUACUGAUAUACAGAUUCAUAGAUUCAGUUAUUUCCCUGCUAGGAUUUUUCUGAAUCUAUGAUCGUAUUUUCCCUUAAGGAGUGUCUUUAAGAAAUGGCAAAUGGUUUUGCACAAUAAUUUUCAGGCAGCAGCGCUUAGAAUACACGCAAAUAUCUCAAGACAGAAAGGAUAUUCAGCUGGGAAGAGCUAAAAAUACAUAUAUGUAAUCUGUGUGAUCCCUAUAGCUAAAAUGUGGAGCUUCUAAAACCAUAUUACUGGAGAUGCUACAAUAAGCAGAAUUCACUGCUAAAUUUCUGAAUAUAAUACAACUAGGAACACAACCAAUUUCAGAUUAAGAAAAUAUGCUGGUACUGGUAUAUUGUUGCUUGAGUAUUGUCAUACUCCAAAUUCCCUACUACUCUUAGUUUUUAAAUGCUUUGGACAGAAGUGUUUCUUCUCCUCCUUAACUCCUUUUUCUAGCUUCAAGGAUUUACUGCAAACUUUGCCACCCACUGAGUAGGGUGGUAGAGCUGGUUGAAGAGACCCAAGGCCUUUAGGCCUGAAAUUCCUUUCAUGUCUGACCUAUUUCUCAGUGACAGGCCCAUAAGGCACUUCUAGAAAAAGAAUUACUUACCUUUCAGCAGAAGAAAGUGGAUACUUUAUCACCUCCACUAAACUACUACAAGAACAGUGUUAUUAUUCAGCAUUUAUUUAAAUGCAUAAUAUCUGCUUUUGUUGAAGUGACUUAGAAACAAAUGCCAGGUAAGUCUGAUGAUGUGCCCAUAAAAUAAACACAAGCCAUUUUACAGAAGAGCAAAGUGAUUUCUGGAAGACAAGUUCUACAGGUAUUGCACAGCAACUGCAUAGUAGGUAUGGGUUUGAAUGGAUUGAUGCUAUUUUCAGAUUUAUAAUUAAAAAUAUUUUUAAUCCCAUGGUCUAGAAAACAUCCUUACUUAUGUACACGCAGAAUGAAAAGAGGUUCUUCCUCUUGCUGUAUUCUCAUGCUAUUUCAUAAUCUCCAGGGGUCGGUACUGGGGCCUGUCUUGUUCAAUAUCUAUAUUGAUGACCUGGAUGAGGGCACUGAGUGCACCCUCAGUAAGUUUGCAGAUGACACCAAGUUGGGAGGAGGUGUCGAUCUGCAUGGGGGAUCCCUGAGCUGGGCCCAGUGGAAUGAAGUUCUACAAGACCAACUGCCAGGUCCUGCCCUUUGGCCCCAACAAACCUAGCCAACACUACAGGCUUGCUUGGGGCAGAUUGGUUGAAAGACUGUGCAGAAGAAACAGACCUGGGGGUGUUGGUUAACACUCAUCUGAACAUGAGCCAGCAGUGUGCUCAGGUGGCCAAGAAGGCCAGUGGCAUGAUGGCUUGUUUAAGAGGUAGUGCUGCUAGCAGGAGCAGGAGGUGAUCAUCCCUCUGUGCUCUGCUCUGGUGAGGCCACACUUUGAGUACUGUGUUGGAGCAUAGGUCUUAUGAGGAGCGGUUGAGGGAACUGGCAUUAUUUAGUCUGGGGAAGAGAAGGCUCAGGGGAGACCUUAUAGUUCUACAACGAUCUAAAGAGAGAUUGUGGAGAGGUGGAGGUUGGCCUCUUCUCUCAUGUAACUAAUGAUAGGACCAGAGAGAAUGGCCUCAAGUUGUGCCAGGGGAGAUGCAGGUUGGAUGUUAGGAAAAGCUUCCCUGAAAGAGUGGUCAGGUGCUGGAAUGGGCUGCCCAGGAAAGUGGUGGAGCCACCAUCCCUGGAGAUGUUCAAGAAACACUCAGAUGUUGUACUGAGGGACAUGGUUUAGUGGGAAAUAUUGGUGAUAGGUGAAUGGUUGGACUGGAUGAUCUUGGAGGUCUUUUCCAACCUUGAAGAUUCUAUGAUUCUAUUCUAUAAGAAUGAUGGUCACUGGCAUGACUAUUAUCUCCCCUUGUUAGCAAAGAAAUACUGCCUGGCAUGAAACACUUCUUGACUUUAGAAAAUUGUUACUUAAAAGGAGGUUACCAUCAAACUGCUCAGAGUGCUCCAAGCAAAAAUGUUAUUUUGCAUUUUCACCUGUUAACAUGUGUAAUUUCAAAGUAAUCUCUAACUGUAGUUAUCCAAUUGUUCUCUCAGACCUCAUUCACUUUAUUUUGUUACUUUGAUUCCACACUCCUACUUCAUACACAUGAAGUUUUUCCCUGCUUAUUCCUAAGGGGCCAGAGACAUUUUGUUUGGCUUUAACAAAUGCAAAUUGCAGCUCACAGCACAGUUAUUUUUAAUUAUUAAUAGAAUAUAUUCCUCAUUAAUGAGUGCAUCUAUUAAAAUGGACCAGAGUUGUACAGACUUAAAAACUGCCUCAAAAAACAAAACAAACAACAACAACAAAAAACAACCAAAAAUCACCUAUCACCAGAAAACAGUGACAAGUCUUCAUAGAAGUAUCUCUUCUGAUAAUUUUCUUCAAACUACGUAGACAAUCCUAAGGCUCUGAAUGGAGAGGGAGUGUUAAUCUCAGAGCUGCAAUUUUAUACUUGAUUUAUAGUAAAGGCAUCAUGAAUUCAAACUGUCGUAGCAAGAAAAACUAAUCUGACCUCAACUUGUCCUCCAGGAUCUGAAACUUCAUUUGGAAUAAUAUCUGUGGGAGGUGAGAUUUUUCCUUGACAAAAGAGAUGCUGAGAUGAUGGGGACUGCACCAGUUUUAAACUGUAUUCAUUGUCAUUGGGUGAGUCAGAGGUCAGGAUCUGAAAGUUCAGAUCUAGAAAAAUAUUAGCAAUUCUACAAUUUUGUUUGGAACUACAACAUCAAGCAAACUAUUAUAACAUUAGGAAAAAAAACAAAGCAAGACAACAGUGUCUGGCUUGAUUUAAAGGAUUUUGAGCAAUUUUUAUUUCUAACACUGCUAUGUCCUCCUUAUGAAACCAGGAGCCAUACUGUGAGCUUAUUCUAAUUUAGCAACAGUAUGCAUGAGUAACGCAACCAAAGAAAGUCACUGUGCAAGUCACUGCUUACUAAGGAGUUUGCAAUAUGACUUCUACUCUAUGAAUCUUUUAUUUUAAACACGUGAUAAUCACAGAAGGGAAACAGUGACUUCUUUAUCAGAGAUGAAGGCCAGACUUUGCACUCAGGCUGGAGGGCCUGCUGCGGGUAUUUGGGUCAGAAUACACAGAACAUGUUGAAACAACGAGAUGUAAUUCUCCUGGUAAGAACUACAGUGGAGAUGAAAUUCAGUUUUUGAUUUCCAAGUUUAAGAUGCCAGGUAUUGUUCUUUUAUUAUUUUACCUUUAUUCAGUUCAUCCCUGUAACUAUUCAAAAUAGGAAGAAAUGUUUUUUGUACAUCAUGUAGCUCCCUAUAUAUCUGUUCAACUCAUUCUUCAAUAUAAACUACUGUGAUCCACAGC